Molecule: long non-coding RNA, 233 nt
Filed under: Phoenix dactylifera (date palm)
Lineage: Eukaryota; Viridiplantae; Streptophyta; Magnoliopsida; Arecales; Arecaceae
Description: long non-coding RNA (PDAC_LNC002121)
Source: RNAcentral
AUAAAUAUGAUAAUGUGUACUUGGUAUGCUUUUGAAUAUAUGCACUAUGAAUACCAAGAAACCAUCCUUGGCAUAUAAAAUCAACUCAUGCUAGUAUGUACUUAAUCUCAAAAGACCUUGCCAUUGGCUUACUUAGAUUAUCUUCUGAAAGGUCAAAGUUUGCUAUGCAUGUUAACUAAGGAAACAAACAAGAAUCAAUUUCUAAAUCUAAAGAUGUUGUUUCCAACACUAAG